RNAcentral lists this ribosomal RNA (301 nucleotides) under uncultured bacterium. RNAcentral describes it as "partial 16S ribosomal RNA". It matches the Rfam family "Bacterial small subunit ribosomal RNA", at positions 509 to 807 of the family's 1533-position model. The record is from RNAcentral.
CAGUAGCCGCGGUAAUACGAAGGGUGCAAGCGUUAAUCGGAAUUACCGGGCGUAAAGCGCACGUAGGCGGCUUGGUAAGUUAGAGGUGAAAGCCUGGAGCUCAACUCCAGAAUUGCCUUUAAGACUGCCGAGCUAGCAGGUGAGAGAGGUAAGUGGAAUUCCGAGUGUAGAGGUGAAAUUCGUAGAUAUUCGGAAGAACACCAGUGGCGAAGGCGGCUUACUGGCUCAUACUGGACGCUGAGGUGCGAAAGCGUGGGGAGCAAACAGGAUUAGAUACCCGUGUAGUCCCUGUCUCUUAUAC